CUGCACCCAAUUAAGCCGACUGAGUUCCUUUCCUCAUGGGGGCCCAGUGUGCAAUGGCUGCAAACAGCAGCUUCCCUGGUAGUGAUGCAGCCUGUUUGUUGUAUGGGUUGCUCUAAGGGACCUUGGAGACAGUC
This 134-nucleotide small nucleolar RNA is filed under the name Rhinopithecus roxellana (golden snub-nosed monkey). RNAcentral's name for it is "Small nucleolar RNA SNORA70 (ENSRROG00000016797.1)". It matches the Rfam family "Small nucleolar RNA SNORA70". From Rfam's summary of the family: snoRNA U70 seems to be exclusive to mammals and is a member of the H/ACA class of snoRNA which contain H (ANANNA) and ACA box motifs. H/ACA box snoRNAs are involved in the conversion of uridines to pseudouridines (5-ribosyluracil) a constituent of structural RNAs (transfer, ribosomal, small nuclear, and small nucleolar). The record is from Rfam by way of RNAcentral. Lineage: Eukaryota; Metazoa; Chordata; Mammalia; Primates; Cercopithecidae.